AUUGAACGCUGGCGGCAGGCCUAACACAUGCAAGUCGAGCGGAUGAAGGGAGCUUGCUCCUGGAUUCAGCGGCGGACGGGUGAGUAAUGCCUAGGAAUCUGCCUGGUAGUGGGGGAUAACGUCCGGAAACGGGCGCUAAUACCGCAUACGUCCUGAGGGAGAAAGUGGGGGAUCUUCGGACCUCACGCUAUCAGAUGAGCCUAGGUCGGAUUAGCGAGUUGGUGGGGUAAAGGCCUACCAAGGCGACGAUCCGUAACUGGUCUGAGAGGAUGACCAGUCACACUGGAACUGAGAAAGGGUCCAGACUCCUACGGGAGGAAGCAGUGGGGAAUAUUGGGCGAUGGGCGAAAGCCUGAUACAGCCAUGCCGCGUGUGUGAAGAAGGUCUUCGGAUUGUAAAGCGCUUUAAGUUGGGGGGAAGGAAAGUAAGUUAAUACCUUGCUGUUUUGACGUUACCAACAGAAUAAGCACCGGCUAACUUCGUG
RNAcentral lists this ribosomal RNA (484 nucleotides) under uncultured bacterium. Its description in RNAcentral is "partial 16S ribosomal RNA". It matches the Rfam family "Bacterial small subunit ribosomal RNA", at positions 30 to 507 of the family's 1533-position model. The record is from RNAcentral.